This 23-nucleotide non-coding RNA is filed under the name Mus musculus (house mouse). The record is from RNAcentral. Lineage: Eukaryota; Metazoa; Chordata; Mammalia; Rodentia; Muridae.
UAAGGUGGACCAUGUGGUGAUGG